GACGAACGCUGGCGGCGUGCUUAACACAUGCAAGUCGAACGGAAAGGCCCUGCUUUUGUGGGGUGCUCGAGUGGCGAACGGGUGAGUAACACGUGAGUAACCUGCCCUUGACUUUGGGAUAACUUCAGGAAACUGGGGCUAAUAACGGAUAGGAGCUCCUGCUGCAUGGUGGGGGUUGGAAAGUUUCGGCGGUUGGGGAUGGACUCGCGGCUUAUCAGCUUGUUGGUGGGGUAGUGGCUUACCAAGGCUUUGACGGGUAGCCGGCCUGAGAUGGUGACCGGCCACAUUGGGACUGAGGUACGGCCCAGACUCCUACGGAAGGCAGCAGUGGGGAAUAUUGCACAAUGGGCAGAAGCCUGAUGCAGCAACGCCGCGUGCGGGAUGACGGCCUUCGGGUUGUAAACCGCUUUCGCCUGUGACGAAGCGUGAGUGACGGUAAUAGGUAAAGAAACACCGGCUAACUACGU
This 467-nucleotide ribosomal RNA is filed under the name uncultured bacterium. RNAcentral's name for it is "partial 16S ribosomal RNA". It matches the Rfam family "Bacterial small subunit ribosomal RNA", at positions 28 to 506 of the family's 1533-position model. The record is from RNAcentral.